Molecule: ribosomal RNA, 498 nt
Filed under: uncultured bacterium
Lineage: Bacteria
Description: partial 16S ribosomal RNA
Rfam family: Bacterial small subunit ribosomal RNA
Source: RNAcentral
GAUGAACGCUGGCGGCGUGCCUAAUACAUGCAAGUCGAGCGAACAGACGAGGAGCUUGCUCCUCUGACGUUAGCGGCGGACGGGUGAGUAACACGUGGAUAACCUACCUAUAAGACUGGGAUAACUUCGGGAAACCGGAGCUAAUACCGGAUAAUAUAUUGAACCGCAUGGUUCAAUAGUGAAAGACGGUUUUGCUGUCACUUAUAGAUGGAUCCGCGCCGCAUUAGCUAGUUGGUAAGGUAACGGCUUACCAAGGCGACGAUGCGUAGCCGACCUGAGAGGGUGAUCGGCCACACUGGAACUGAGACACGGUCCAGACUCCUACGGGAGGCAGCAGUAGGGAAUAUUCCGAAAUGGGCGAAAGCCUGACGGAGCAACGCCGCGUGAGUGAUGAAGGUCUUCGGAUCGUAAAACUCUGUUAUUAGGGAAGAACAAAUGUGUAAGUAACUAUGCACGUCUUGACGGUACCUAAUCAGAAAGCCACGGCUAACUACGUGC